Arachis ipaensis is the source of this 2637-nucleotide non-coding RNA. Lineage: Eukaryota; Viridiplantae; Streptophyta; Magnoliopsida; Fabales; Fabaceae. The record is from RefSeq and is a predicted model, not a curated record.
UUUGACCAAACGAGCUCUUCCUCAUUUCCCGUGUCUCUUCCCCGCACCUCCACGCCCAUCCCCUCCAAAUGCUCUAUCGGUAGCGCGUCUCAGCCUUGCACCGCCGUCUUACCUUGCGCCGCCGUCGCACCGAACCUCCAUUGCACUGAACUUCCAUCGCCACGAAACUCCGUCACACCCCUUCCCGACUCUUCUCUGUGUGUUGCUGAUUCCCUUUCAAACCCUAAUAUGCAUUUCUCUGCCACCGUCUUCGUCGCCUCCGUCGCCUCCGUCCUCAUCCUCUUCACCUUCUCCUGCGUUCACUCUUUCUACCUUCCCGGUGUCGCCCCUCGAGAUUUUCAAAUCGUACGUCUUCCAUUUUUCUAUCUCUUUCUGAGAUUCGCGUUCUCCUCUCUCUUAUUCGAAUUUAUGCGCUACUUGUUUCAUUAAUUUCUUGAUCAAAGCUAUUCUCACAGAAAUCAUAAGUGCAUUUCUCGCUCAUGUGUUGCUUAGUUGAUGUGUUUUUCUCUUCGAUCUCGCCUCAGCCGUGCAGGUAACCCUAAUCAGAAGGAGGUGCUGUGAGGUUUUUGUUGUAUUUUGUUGAUGUAUUUUGUUGUUGUUAUGAGAUUUUUUCCAAUUUUCAUACAGUAUGGAUAAUAUUGUAGUAAAGAGUACUACUACUUUGGGUUUUAUAUAUAUAAUAAUGCUUUUUCUGUCAUUGAAACAUGAAAUAGUAGCAGCAGGAGAUAACAAUUACAAUGAUCCAUACUUUUGUUUGAAUUUUGAAGAAAUUUGAUGGUGUAUGCAGUAGCUGGGAUUGAUAAACCCUAGGAUUGUGAUUUAAUUGGAGUGGAGACGAGAUGUUGUUUUCGCGGGCUAUGAGGUCGCCAUACAAAAGGAUGUUUCUGCUGAAAAGAUGAUAUUUGGUGUGGCUGAGAUUGAUCCUGAAAGAAAAGCAGAGCUAAUCAAGCUUGCAUCAUCUCUUGGUCCGCGCUUCUAUUCUAACAUUUUCAAACGCAAGCAAAUAUCAGAAACGGGCGCUCAACAAGUACUGGCCGCUUUCUUUAAUUGGUUUUUAUUUUCUUUUGGUUACAUCAAGAGUAAAGUUAAAGCAUAUUUUUGAUAGGUUUGUAAAUAUAAGAUGUCUUUUAUUCUCAACAAUUUUGAACAUUUUUUAUCUAGAGUACAGGAUACAUAAAGGAGUUUGAAACCUUUUUUUUUCUGUGGAACACUUGAAACCUUAUGAGAACGAGCUAAUAAAGUGAUACUUUUGCAAAUGCUACUGGAUACACAAGCUGUUAAGACAAUCCUUCUUGAAAUUCCUUCCCUUGGUAGACAGGUGAUCUAACUUCUGCAAAUACUUUUUAGUCAUCUUUCCUUCCCUUGGAGCUUAAAUCUAGGGAAUCUGAACUCCACAUUUCAAGAGUUGGUGAAUUUACUAUGUUGCUGUUCCUUUUACCAGUAGCAUUUAAUUUUCUUUUCAGUUAUAGUUUUUAUAUAGAAGAUAUUGAUAAUGAAAUUUUCAAGUGAAAAUUUUCACCAUUUUUCAUCCUUAAACAUAAUUAGAAUGUUGCAUCAAUAUUGAUCUUCAGCCAGUCGUUUGGUGGCACUCUCCAUCUCACUGGUAAGCUAUUUUUUCCUUUUAGGUUCUAUUAACUGGUGGUUCUUUUUCUCAUAUAUGUUGUUAUAGUCAGAUUCUAAUUGUCAGUUAGUGGAGUUAGUAAGUUAGUAAGUAUAGAAACUUCAGUUAUAGUAUGGGUGCUUCCAAUCUCCAGCUCAAGCUUAUCAGUUAUUACUUCACUUGAGUUCUUACUUCUCAGAUUGGGAGACAAAAGGAGAAAAAAUGAAGAAGAUGGGGUUGGGAGUUCCUGCUCUUCCAUUUACCUUUGUGGCUCACCUUCUAGCGGUGGCUGCUAUUGUCAUGGUCUUGCUUUAGAACAUACACUUCAGAGGUGGCUUAGCUUGGGAAGCUACCAACAAAAAUCUGAUAUUCAAUUUAGUGGAGUUCCACCUGAUGCAUUCUGUGAAACUGGUCAGCUGUGAAGCAGCUCUGAUUCCUUUGACGGAGUUUAGAGAGCAAGAGAUUAUGAAAAGGUUAAUAUAAUGGAAGAGUGUAAAAACAAUUAUUUGUUCUUAUUGAAGAUUUUGUUGAGUCUACCAAAAAAAUUUUUCCUUCUUUAACGGCACCAUUGAAGUUGCCGAGGCCGGUGGUUUUCUUAGCAUGGAAUCUGUCUUCCUUGUUACUCUUGGAAUUGCCCUCCUCAUCCUCCUGGGGCUAUGAAUCCAUGGUCAAAUACAACACCUAUCUAAGAAACUGCACAUGCUCAGUCCAAUGCAAACAAAUCAAAGAAGAAGAAGUAGAUGAACAAAUACUUUCAAGUUUCAGCCACACAAGAGUCUACCAUGGAGUGAAGAAUCAUGUAACUCAGAUUAGAUUAGAGAGUUUAAACUUUAAAGAGAGUAUGAGAAAAUAGUUUUAAAAUUUAGGCUGAAAGCCCUGCUCUUCUCUGUUGUAGUUUAAAAGAAAUUUUGGGGUAUCUUUUUUAUUGAGAAAGUGAGAUAUUGGAUAAUGGUGUUGAAAAAUAACAUCCAAUUUUAUAGGUAUCAUGUAAUGAAUAUUAUGUUUAUCUAUGUGAUUUUUGGCUUUCUUUUUUUCAA